This 253-nucleotide ribosomal RNA is filed under the name uncultured bacterium. RNAcentral describes it as "partial 16S ribosomal RNA". It matches the Rfam family "Bacterial small subunit ribosomal RNA", at positions 524 to 776 of the family's 1533-position model. The record is from RNAcentral.
UACGAAGGUCCCAAGCGUUAUCCGGAUUUAUUGGGUUUAAAGGGUGCGUAGGCGGGUUAUUAAGUCAGUGGUGAAAGCCUACAGCUUAACUGUAGAACUGCCAUUGAUACUGAUGAUCUUGAGUAUGAUUGAGGUUGGCGGAAUGUGUCAUGUAGCGGUGAAAUGCGUAGAUAUGACACAGAACACCGAUUGCGAAGGCAGCUAACUAAGUCAUAACUGACGCUGAUGCACGAAAGCGUGGGGAGCAAACAGG